GAUGAUUCAGGCAGGAAGUGACAUGGCAAGGAGACUCAUAUCUAAGCAAGGAAACAGGAAGUAUGCCUUUUUCCCCCCCUGCUCCUUCUCCAGCAGCAAGAUGUGAUCCCAGCAAGGAGGGACGCCAAUAAGGAGGCUGGCGUAAAGCUCACACGUGGCGGUGGGGCUCAGGCGGCAUUUGGCAGAAAGAUUUAUUGUAACAGGCAUUCUACGAGCCCUCAUCCAGUGACUGAUGGAAGCAGAGGCAGACAUCCACAGAUAUACACUGAACUCUGGAACUUAGUUGCAGAGCGGGAGGAAUGAAGAUCGAAGGGGUUGGUACCAGGCUGGUGAAACCCACAGUACCAGCUAGCCUGAACAAGGGGGAACACAUGGACUCCAGAUGCUGUCUGGGAGAGCAGCACAGGACUGAUCCAGACCCCUGAACAUGGAUGCCAAUGAGGAGGCAUCUGCACCCUAAGGGGCCCCUGGUAGUGGUUUAGGAUUUUUCCCUGGUGUAAGAAGGGACUUUGAGAGCCCAUCCCAUGUGAAUGGAUGCACUCUUGCCCUGGGCACAUAGGGAAGGGCCAAGGCCCAGCCUAGGAUGAUGUGGUGGACUUUGCUGAGCCCCCCAUUGAGGGCCCUACCCUGCAUGGGGAGUGGAGAGUGGAUGGGUUUGGGGGGUAGGUCGGGGGGUGGGGGAGGAGGGUGCGGGUGAGGGGAGGGAGAGGGAGAACGGAUUGACAUGUGAAACAAACUUGUUCCUAAUUUGAACUAAU
This 758-nucleotide long non-coding RNA is filed under the name Cricetulus griseus (Chinese hamster). RNAcentral's name for it is "lncRNA (ENSCGRG00015033907.1)". The record is from RNAcentral. Lineage: Eukaryota; Metazoa; Chordata; Mammalia; Rodentia; Cricetidae.